UGUACCAGUGAUGAUAAUAUUAUGUCAUAAAUAUUUUGAUGAAUUUUAACAUGCACUACCAGCUGAGGUACU
Molecule: small nucleolar RNA, 72 nt
Organism: Argiope bruennichi
Lineage: Eukaryota; Metazoa; Arthropoda; Arachnida; Araneae; Araneidae
Source: RefSeq, a predicted model, not a curated record